RNAcentral lists this long non-coding RNA (312 nucleotides) under Pan troglodytes (chimpanzee). Its description in RNAcentral is "long non-coding RNA NONPTRT007221". Lineage: Eukaryota; Metazoa; Chordata; Mammalia; Primates; Hominidae. The record is from RNAcentral.
GCGGCGUCGUGGCGCGGGCAGAGCCUGGGCAGCCUGUACACGCACCUGCAGGGCUGCACGUGGCAGCUGAGCGCCCUGGCGGAGCAGCAGUGCCGCAUCCUGCAGCAGGACUGGAGCGACCUCAUGGCCGACCCUGCGGGCGUGCGGCGGGAAUACGAGCACUUCAAGCAGCACGAGCUGCUGAGCCAGGAGCAGAGCGUAAACCAGCUGGAGGACGACGGCGAGCACAUGGUGGAGCUGCGGCACCCCGCGGUGGGGCCCAUCCAGGAGCGCUGGGGGCAGGGCGAGAGUGAGAAGGGACGUGGUGGGCGG